AAGUCGUAACAAGGUUUCCGUAGGUGAACCUGCGGAAGGAUCAUUAGGAAUGAAUGGAGGAGAGGAGAGGAGAGGGGAGGGGAGGGCGCAGCGGAGGCGUCUGCAGCCGCCGCCCACCUACCUGCCCACUCACUCACUCACUCACCCACUACUACUCACCUUGUGCACUGUCCUGUCUUGUGGCCGCAGCAUGGCCUGGUCUGGGGCGGCGUGCUGCUUAGGCGGCGCGCACGCUGCAGGCGCGGUCGCGGCCACAUUAGAUAUCAUCCACCUACAUUGCGUACCUAUGCAUGCAUACAUACAUACCUAACCACUCGACUGUGCAACUAGGGCGGCGCGCGCUAUGCCUGCCGCCCGGCCAGGAUUCAUUGACAACUUUUAGCAACGGAUCUCUAGGCUCUU
This 402-nucleotide unclassified non-coding RNA is filed under the name fungal sp. Its description in RNAcentral is "partial internal transcribed spacer region". The stretch from base 1 to 46 matches the Rfam family "Eukaryotic small subunit ribosomal RNA", at positions 1786 to 1831 of the family's 1831-position model. The record is from RNAcentral. Lineage: Eukaryota; Fungi.